This 1623-nucleotide ribosomal RNA is filed under the name uncultured Sebacina. RNAcentral describes it as "eukaryotic LSU rRNA". The stretch from base 1 to 407 matches the Rfam family "Eukaryotic small subunit ribosomal RNA", at positions 1427 to 1831 of the family's 1831-position model. The record is from RNAcentral. Lineage: Eukaryota; Fungi; Basidiomycota; Agaricomycetes; Sebacinales; Sebacinaceae.
GAUCUACCUGACGGAAGUUUGAGGCAAUAACAGGUCUGUGAUGCCCUUAGAUGUUCUGGGCCGCACGCGCGCUACACUGACAAAGCCAGCGAGUCUAUCACCUUGGCCGGAAGGUCCGGGUAAUCUUGUGAAACUUUGUCGUGCUGGGGAUAGAGCAUUGCAAUUAUUGCUCUUCAACGAGGAAUGCCUAGUAAGCGCAAGUCAUCAGCUUGCGUUGAUUACGUCCCUGCCCUUUGUACACACCGCCCGUCGCUACUACCGAUUGAAUGGCUUAGUGAGGUCUUUGGAUCGGCUUUGAGGACCCGGCAACGGGAUCUCGUCGCUGAGAAGUCGAUCAAACUUGGUCAUUUAGAGGAAGUAAAAGUCGUAACAAGGUUUCCGUAGGUGAACCUGCGGAAGGAUCAUUAGUGAAUCCUCAAAGUCGGCUCGUCCUACUGUGCUGGUGGAGACACAUGUGCACGUUGCGAGUCGCAAAUCCCACACACCUGUGAAUCUAUGACUCUGAGUCUGCCGCUUUGCAUGGCCUUGAUCGGCCUGGCGACUCGAGUACUUUUACACACUCUUGAAUGUAAUGGAAUGUCUAUUGUGCAUAAUGUACAAAUGAAACAACUUUCAACAACGGAUCUCUUGGCUCUCGCAUCGAUGAAGAACGCAGCGAAAUGCGAUAAGUAAUGUGAAUUGCAGAAUUCAGUGAAUCAUCGAAUCUUUGAACGCACCUUGCACCCUUUGGUAUUCCGAAGGGUACACCCGUUUGAGUGUCAUUGUAAUCUCACUACAUUCGACUUUGUGUCGCUUGUAUGUGGACUUGGAUGUUGCCGUGGAUUUCCACGGCUCGUCUGAAAUGCCUGAGUGUACCCCAUUUUGCGGCGUAUUCGGUGUGAUACAUCUUCACCGGAGUUGAUCCUUUCGGGUCGCGUCAGUAUGAGUGUGGCUCUAUGCUUCCAACCGUCCCUUUAUAAGGACAAUCUCUUGACAAUUUGACCUCAAAUCGGGUGGGACUACCCGCUGAACUUAAGCAUAUCAAUAAGCGGAGGAAAAGAAACUAACAAGGAUUCCCCUAGUAACGGCGAGUGAAGAGGGAAAAGCUCAAAUUUCGAAUCUGGUGUCUUUGACUCCCGAGUUGUAAUCUAGAGAAGUGUUUUCCGUGUCGGACCGUGCACAAGUUCCCUGGAACGGGGCGUCAUAGAGGGUGAGAAUCCCGUAUAUGGCACGGACUGCCGAUGCUCUGUGAUACACUCUCAACGAGUCGAGUUGUUUGGGAAUGCAGCUCAAAAUGGGUGGUAAAUUCCAUCUAAAGCUAAAUAUUGGCGAGAGACCGAUAGCGAACAAGUACCGUGAGGGAAAGAUGAAAAGCACUUUGGAAAGAGAGUGAAACAGUACGUGAAAUUGUUGAAAGGGAAGCGUUUGAAGUCAGUCAUGUCUGGCGGGAUUCAACUUGGGCUUCUGCCCGGUGUACUUUCCGUCCGAUGGGUCAGCAUCAAUUUCGACCGAGGGAAAAAGAUGUGGGGAAUGUGGCUGUCUUCGGGCAGUGUUAUAGCCCCGCAUUGUAUGCCUCGGUUGGGAUUGAGGAACGCAGCGCGCCUAUAGGCCAGGGGCUACCCGCCUCUUGACACGCGCUUAGGA